This 72-nucleotide transfer RNA is filed under the name Ictidomys tridecemlineatus (thirteen-lined ground squirrel). Its description in RNAcentral is "Spermophilus tridecemlineatus (thirteen-lined ground squirrel) tRNA". It matches the Rfam family "tRNA". From Rfam's summary of the family: Transfer RNA (tRNA) molecules are approximately 80 nucleotides in length. Lineage: Eukaryota; Metazoa; Chordata; Mammalia; Rodentia; Sciuridae. The record is from Rfam by way of RNAcentral.
GGAGUUGUAGCUCAGUGGUAGAGCGCUUGCCUAGCAUGCAUGAGACACUGGGUUUAAUCCCUGGCACCUUCU